AGAUUUUGUGGGGUAAGAAGAACCAUUAGGAUUAUUAUCAACAUUGUAAGAGCUUACUAAAGCAAAAAAGAAAAGGUUAACAGAGAAGAAAAGAGCAGUUGAUAACUUAACCUUUGAAGCCAUUUUUCCAAUAGAGAAUAAUUUGAUUUCACUGAGAAAAUGGACUGCUUCCUACGAUGAAGGUGAUGAAGUGAUCAAAGGGUUUUUAUAGAACACAAAGAUGAGGUUUGAAACUAGAAAAUGAAAGCCACUAAGUCAUAUCAUUUGGAGAAUUUGGAUAUUUUAAGAUAUGUUUUCGUUGGCUUUGAUUAAGAAAUCUCCCAGAUCUAUGAAUGAGUUGUUAUUAUAAUUAUAUAUCGUAAUCCCAAGUAUGGGACCAAGCCGCAAUUUUAAAUUUUAAUUAUGAAUCAUAAUUUAUAUAUUUACACUAGUACAACCUUGCUAUGAUUACUUGCAAAUAAAAAUGUUCAUGAACCAGGUUAUUCAUUCAAACUCGAAGGUGCACCUAAAAUUUUGAGAGGAUUUAGACAAAAGUAUUAGGUUCGAAAUUGAGAUUGGAUGAAAAAUUGGUUCAUUUAAAAUAUGAACCGAGUUUGGACAAGAGCUACAUGGGCUACCACACAACCAUGUGACAGGCCGUGUCGAUUUCGCGAAUUGCACUCCGAACAGUGGAAAAACGUGAUUUUUAGGGUUUUUCGAGCAUUCUGAGAACUAUAUAUGACAAAAAUAAGAAGAUAGUUGUGAGCCGUCAUAGAAUAUUCAAGAAAACAACUCGAAAAACAACAUUGAAGCUGAUUCUAAAGUAAUUUUCCGUCAAGAUUGAAGAUUCCUAGUUGAUUUCUUAAGAGAUUAUCAUGAGUUUCUUUAUUUCUUUUGGUUAUACUGUCUCUGGGAUAUUUUUAUUUUCAAGCAUGAACUAAUUUUCUAAAUACCUAGGGGGAGAUGAACCCCAUGAUGAAUUCUAUCGUUUGAUUUUUAUUUUAAGCAAUAAAUACUUGGAUCUUGUUAUUAAUUAUGUGUGAUUGAUUCUUGGUUUGAUAUUUCUAAAUUAUUGAUCCAUAUUUGAUGUACUUAAAUCAGAGGAGGAAUAGACACUGCUUAACAGUAGAUCUUGAGUAAUUUAGUAGAAUUGCAUGCAAUCCUAAAAAUAGGACGACAUAAAUCUAUCGAAUUAGAGUCAAAUCUAAUAGGGGACUCCAUAAAUCGAGUUAAUGCGAUAGUAGGGGUUUUAAUUAGAAAGAAAUUUCAAUUAAUCAACCUAGAGUCAGUUGCUCUACUCUCGAAAGAGUUAUUAGCAUAGUUUAGGGAUGUUGUAAUACCUUGAUUAAUUUAAGCCUGUUUUUGUGAAAUUUAACAAUUAUGUAUAUGUUUCAGUGGUUAAGUGUUUUGGGUGUGUGUAUGAGGUCUUGGGUUCAAGUCUCACAUCUAAUAAUUUUGCUAUUUUAGAUCCAAACCUUACCCUUGUUGAGUGGGCUUAUAUAAAACUGUCUGUUAAUCUAUAUUAGAAUAAGCUUGCUGGUUUGAGUGGUAAGGGGUUGUUGUGUUGGAGUUCUUGUGUUUGAAUCCUUGUGUGAACAUGGAUGUUAAAAUUUUUGCUCGGUUGUUUGGUCGAGUUUCGGCAUAGCUAAAAUUCUGAGGUAGUUGAGAUUGAGUGUUGGUGGGGAGUUGGGAUUGUAAUCAAUUUGUUAAUUUUAUUUCCUGUUUUUCAAUUUUUCUUCCUAUUCUUUACCAUUUUCAUCUUCCUCUUCCUUUCCGAUGAUUUUGUUUUUCAUCUUUUUAUCUGCUGUCGUAAUUUCGCAUCUCGAUAUUUUGGUGUUCUUUGUGCAUUUUUGGUAAGUGUGGUUAUGUUUUGGUUAGUGAAUCAUUGGUUGAUAGGGUUCGUUAUUGUUGCUUAGGAGAAGAUCAAGGGGCUGGGGGCUUCCAAUUGGUGCUAUAGUUGUACGAAAUCACCAUUGCCCAUUCGAAGGUAAAGGUUUUGAUUCAAUAAAGGAUUGUCUAUUUCAAUGUAGUUACGGUUUAGUUUCAAUUUAAGCGACUAAUUCGGCAAUUUAUUGGUCAAUUUUAGGUGUUGUGUGGCUCGGGAGUGUUUUCGCAUAAAAAACGAUCCAGGUGUGUUCCCAAAACGCAGAAAAUUGGGUUUCGGCAAAAGCCAAAAAAGUGUUCUGUCGAUGCCACACGGUUGUGUGCCUGGCCGUGUUGUAGGCUGUGUUCAAGACACGGUCGUGUGUCUGACGAAGGUGCGGCCGUGCUCAAGACACGACCGUGCGAUGGUUGAGUGUGGCCGUGUGGGCCACACGGGCUAGGCCAUAUUGGGCGUAUGAGCCUACACGGGCAUGUGGGUUUUGGGCCAGGCCUUGUGGACCACGCGGGCAAGGCCAAUCUGGGCGUGUGGGCCGCACAGCAUGUAGGCCCAAAAUUCUAAAAUUUUCCCUAAGAUUGCACGGGUCGUUCCAAUUGACUGUGGACCUACCGUAGAGUCGCUAAAGGCUAACCAAACUCUAAAUUAUGUGAUCUGAUAUUCUGGUAGUAUGCUUUGAGUAGGACACCGUUAUGCAUGUCUGAUUAUUCUGUUAUAUAUAUGUAUAUGUUAUCUGUACGCAAGCAUGUUAAGCAUGAUAUUUCUGUAUCUGGAUAUUGUAUUUAUGACCGGGGUGAGAAUCGUAUAUGUGGAGGAAGUAAUCUGUACAGCGACCUGUCACCUAUAUUCUGGCAGCUUGGCUGCAUAUUAUUUGUUCUGUGUUGCAUGUGUAAGGUCUUUCUUGUCACAUUCAGGUGGGCAAGGACCUAUUUUGAGCCAAAAACAGAGAUUUAACCAGACAAAGGUUGCUUUUAUCUAUCGGCUUUUCCAGUUUUUUGAAAAUCAUCAAAUUUCGUCUAAAAAGCCACAGCCUUCCUGCCAGUAUUAAUUCCAGAUCCUCCUCUUCUUCAAAUUCAAUCAUGAACAAGUUUUGACCAGAAAUUUUGAUCUCAAAUUUCUUUUUUGUUUUCCAGAUACUCUUCAAUUGGGCUCGAAACCUAUCUGGAUUGUAGGUUUUCAUUGUCCAUACAAUCCCUAAAAGAGUCAGCUUUCCAUUGGGGACCACCAGGGAGCUUUUGACAGUCAAAUGUACCGAUUCUUCUUCCAGGAGAGAGAUAUCAUCCCUCGCCAUAGCUAUCUUUGUCACCGCCCUACUCAAGACCCAACCACAGCAGACUUAUUUCUUUGGGAGACUAUGAGAGAGCACUCUUGACUUUUUUUUUGCUACAUAAAAGAAAUUCUUAAAACAUGAAAGAAUUGUUUAAAUUUUGAAAAAAAUUCACUUUUUUAAAGAUAUUAUUUUAUUCCAAUUUUUUUCAAAACAUAUUAGCUGUGCCAAUUUUAAUUUAUAUCAAGAAAAAGAUCAAAUUUGUAUAAAUUGUUAUAAGAAAAUACUAUAAUUUAUAAUCUCCAUUAAUUAUCUCAUAGCAUUACAAUUGAUUGGGAUUUUCAUAGACAUCUUAAUUUAUUACUUGGAAAAUGCAUCCUUAUUACACAAAUAAAUUAAGACAAGUAAAGAAAUUAUUACAGGAGAUGAAAGAAAUUAUUACAGGAGAUGAAAGAAAUUAUUACAGGAGAUGAAAGGGAAAGGUUGAAGAGUCUUUCCUUUAUGAAAAAACAACAAUUCGAGAACUGCUAUGAAAUGAAUCAAAGAGAGAAUCCAUCAAACAAUCGAUAAAAGAAUAAUCAAAGACAAUUUUCUAAAACGACAAUAUUUAUGGAGCGCAAAUGUAUUCAGUAGCCACCCUUCUUCCACAAUUAUUGAGUAAGAGACUCAAUGAAAUAGGAAGGUUGAGUUUAAUGUCCAAGACAUUAGCUCGGACAGCAGUGCAAAGGCAAACCGCAGCUUCAAGAUCAGCCAACCCAUGGAUCAAACUGCAGCAUGGUUGGGUUGGUACGUUGCCGAGGUCGAGAUUCACCAAACCACCCAACAGAUUAACACACACACCCAAGGUUCAAUGGAUUACAAGUACCAUAAUAACUUUGAGCGCUACCAUCGUUGGGAAACUUGUAUCCGGGACGGAUAACAACAGGGUUCCGAGAUUUUGUGGGGUAAGAAGAACCAUUAGGAUUAUUAUCAACAUUGUAAGAGCUUACUAAAGCAAAAAAGAAAAGGUUAAGAGAGAAGAAAAGAGCAGUCGAUGACUUAACCUUUGAAGCCAUUUUUCCAAUAGAGAAUAAUUUGAUUUCACUGAGAAAAUGGACUGCUUCUUACGAUGAAGGUGAUGAAGUGAUCAAAGGGUUUUUAUAGAACACAAAGAUGAGGUUUGAAACUAGAAAAUGAAAGGCACUAAGUCAUAUAAUUUGGAGAAUUUGGAUACAUUAAGAUAUGUUUUCGUUGGCUUUGAUUAAGAAAUAUCCCAGAUCUAUGAAUGAGUCGUUAUUAUAAUUAUAUAUCGUAAUCCCAACCAAGGACCAAGCCGAAGUUUUAAAUUUUAAUUAUGAAUCAUAAUUUAUAUAUUUACAUGAGUAAAACGCUGCUAUGGUUAUUUGUCAAGUUAUUUAUCCAAACUUGAAAGUGCAUCUAAAAUUUUGAAAGAAUUUAAACAAAAGUAUUAAGUUCAAAAUUGAGGUUAGACGAAAAAUAAAUUCAUUUAAAAUAUGGAUCGAAUUUGGGCAAGAGCUAGACGGGCUGCCAAACCACCAUGUGGUGAAAUCUAAAAAUUAAUUAUUGACGGCCUCAGACGAUGAAGUUGGUGAAACGAUCAAAGGGUUUUUAUAGAACAAAAAGAUGAGCUUUUAAAGAUAGAAAAUGGAAGUCACUAAGUCAUAUUAUUUGAAGAAUUUGGAUACUUUAAGAUAUGGUUUCGUUGGCUCUAAUUAUGGAAUCUCCCACGUCUACAAAUGAGUUGAUAUUAUUAUCAUUUUUUUUCUAAUUGCGAAUAUGGUUUAAAUUUUAUUUAUUAAUCAUAAUUUAUAUUUAUUUACGUUGAUGAGUUGGUUUAUUCAUUAUCUUGAAAUGAUGUUACAAAUUGAGUGCAAGAUUUUUAUUAUUCAGAUCAUGUGGCCAGGUUGUGUGACAGAUUCCAGGUCGUGUGGUUUAGAGGCAUCGUCGUGUGGUCAAACUAUAUACAGUUCGAAUACAGGGUCACAUAGUCAUGUUAUCAGGCCGUUUGCAAUUCGAAAUUAGGUCACAUGGCCUGUGACCAUGUGGGAAAACUUGCACAAAAACUAAAUAAGUUACAUGGCCGUUUGGGGUGACCGUGUGUGGUACACGGCAUGUGACAACCCGUGUCCCAUGUCGUGUGCACCUAAAAUGACUUUCAAAACAAGACAAAUCAUCACUCAUUUCUUAGGUACCAAGCCAAACCAAUUUCAACCAAUUUCACACCUUCAAAACACAUUCAAACAUGCUUAAAACAUACCAAAACAGUCAACCUAAGUGUCUAACCAAUUUGCCCUCAUUAGCAUCACAUUUCAUACACCAAACCAAAUUCACAUUCAAAGAUCACAAGCCCUUAUGUUAUACACAUGCCAAACAUAUCAGUUUGUCCACUCUAUUCACAUACAAUUUUACCAUAUCUCAACCAUUUUCAAGAAGUAUAAACCAAAUAACCAAAAGCGCACACACACACACACAUAUAUAUAUAUAUAUAUAUAUAUAUAUAUAUAUAAUAAUAAUAACUAACAANNNNNNNNNNNNNNNNNNNNNNNNNNNNNNNNNNNNNNNNNNNNNNNNNNNNNNNNNNNNNNNNNNNNNNNNNNNNNNNNNNNNNNNNNNNNNNNNNNNNNNNNNNNNNNNNNNNNNNNNNNNNNNNNNNNNNNNNNNNNNNNNNNNNNNNNNNNNNNNNNNNNNNNNNNNNNNNNNNNNNNNNNNNNNNNNNNNNNNNNNNNNNNNNNNNNNNNNNNNNNNNNNNNNNNNNNNNNNNNNNNNNNNNNNNNNNNNNNNNNNNNNNNNNNNNNNNNNNNNNNNNNNNNNNNNNNNNNNNNNNNNNNNNNNNNNNNNNNNNNNNNNNNNNNNNNNNNNNNNNNNNNNNNNNNNNNNNNNNNNNNNNNNNNNNNNNNNNNNNNNNNNNNNNNNNNNNNNNNNNNNNNNNNNNNNNNNNNNNNNNNNNNNNNNNNNNNNNNNNNNNNNNNNNNNNNNNNNNNNNNNNNNNNNNNNNNNNNNNNNNNNNNNNNNNNNNNNNNNNNNNNNNNNNNNNNNNNNNNNNNNNNNNNNNNNNNNNNNNNNNNNNNNNNNNNNNNNNNNNNNNNNNNNNNNNNNNNNNNNNNNNNNNNNNNNNNNNNNNNNNNNNNNNNNNNNNNNNNNNNNNNNNNNNNNNNNNNNNNNNNNNNNNNNNNNNNNNNNNNNNNNNNNNNNNNNNNNNNNNNNNNNNNNNNNNNNNNNNNNNNNNNNNNNNNNNNNNNNNNNNNNNNNNNNNNNNNNNNNNNNNNCGCAGCUUCAAGAUCAGCUAACCCAUGGAUCAAACUACAGCAUGGUUGGGUUGGUACGUUGCCGAGGUUGAGAUUCGCCAAACCACCCAACAGAUUAAGACAUACACCAAGAUUCAAUGGAUUACAAGUACCAUAGUAGUUAUGAGUGCUACCAUCGUUAGGAAACUUGUAUCCAGGACGGAUUACAACAGGGUUCCGAGAUUUUGUCGGAUAAAAAGAACCGUUUGAAUUAUUAUCGACGUUAUAAGAGCUAACUAAAGCAAAAAAGAAAAGGUUAAGAGAGAAAAAUAGAGCAGUUGAUGCCUUAACUUUUGAAGCCAUUUUUCCAGUAGAAAAUUAUUUGAUUUCACUGAGAAAAUGGACUGUUUUGAUGAAAGAAAUCUAAAAAUUGCUUAUUGACUGCCUCAGAUGAUGAAGGUGGUGAAAUGAUCAAAGGGUUUUUAUAGAACGCAAAGAUGAGCUUUUAAAGCUAGAAAAUGGAAGUCACUAAGUCACAUGUUUUGGAGAAUUUGGAUACUUUAAGGUAUGGUUUCGUUGGCUCUAAUUAUGGAAUCUCCCACGUCUAAUUAUCAUUAUUUCUUUUCUCUAUUUGCAAAUAUGGGAAUAAGCCAAAGUUUUAAAUUUUAAUUACGAAUCUUAAUUUAUAUUUAUUUACGUUGAUGAGUUGGUGAGUGUGAGAUUGUAAUCAUUCAGGUAAACUAUUAAAUUAUUAUUAAGUUUACAAAAAAUUAUAAAAUGAUGAUUAAAUUAUUAGAAAGUUUUUUAUUUAUGUCAUUGGAUGUAAGGUAUGUUAUUCUACUCGUUGAUAGAUAUUGAUCCACCAUAUCAAUUGUCAAAUCGUUGGUUUGAGCUCACUUGCCAAAACUAAUUUUUUAAACAAAAACCUUAAUGACUUAGUGACUUAAAUAAAAAUUUUAAUUAUGUAUAAUAAUUUAUAUUUAUUUGCGAACCAAAAUCUAAACAACUGACGAAUUGAUCUUCGAUAUUGACAAAUUGGUGAUUAUUCACAAAUUUAAUUUCUUCUAACUGAUUUUUAGGACGUGAUAAGUGACAAAGAAAAUCAAAAGUUGUGAUGAAGUGAGGAAAGGGUUUAUAUAGAAAGAAGGGAUGAACAUAAAAACUAAGUAAAUGAGAGGCACUAAGUGAAAUUAAUUGGGAUACAGAAAUAUUUGAUUUGCUGGCAAAGAAUGGAAUUUCCCCUCUGUAUGAAGAUUAUUCGAAUCCAAUAGGCCAAUUUUUAAAUAAUAACAUGAGCACAACGUUGUCACUAUCAUAACUACAAUUAAUUUAGUACUUUGCAUUGCAAAUAUCAUGUCACCAGCUCACAGCAAAAGACAGUACAUAUUGCAAAUUUGUAGCUUUAAUAUUAAUUAAAGAUUAAAAACACUCUAAUAAUUAGUCUCACAAGUUGCUCAAAUUUAAUUAACUUAAAUACUUAAGUCGUUAAAACAUAAACCAAUAAGAGUUGAGCUAAAUUCGAGUUUUCCUUACUUGAAACCACAAAUUAUGUAUCAAUAGGUAAAAUGCCUUUGUGAUUAUUUUAAAUAAAUUAUUUCUAAUGUAAGUAGGUUUCAUGUGAUUUUAUACGUUUAAUUUUUAAUUAAUUAAUUGUUGAAUAACUUAUUUUUAAUUAUUGUUACCUAUUAUUGAUAAUGAUGAUUUCUCUUAAUUAUUAAAAAAUAUAUAUGUCGAAAUCUUUUUUUUUUGAAAAACGGGGUUGACUUGGAUUUUGAAAAAAAAAAUGGGAGUCGCCACCAAUCUUUUAUUGAGGUGUGAUUGGAUCACCUAAAAACGACUUUGGUCUACGAGUUUUAGAGAAACGGGUUCGGGAGUCAGUUACGUACGAUGAAGGAUUAGCACCCUCGUAACACCCAAAAAUUGGUACCAAGUUGAUUAAUUAAUGUCUUAAUAUCGAGAGUUGAAAAAAAUAUUGAUUCUUAAUUAAAUCAAGUUAUUCAUCAAGACUCUCCCAUUUUGAAGAAAACAAACGUCACAUCCAAUGCGUUAGGGCACAACAUUUUAGUUCUUCAAGAACGAGUUUGUCCUCAAAAGAUUUGUGUUAUAAAAUUUAAGAGAAUAUUUAAAUGUUUAAAAUUUAUAAAGGAAUCGCAGCCCAAUACAUUAGGGCACAAUUUCUUAAAAUCUCAAACAUUGAAUAUUUCAUUUAUUAAUUUUAAAAAUACUUGUCUCGAGAAGUCAACACGUCACAUCCAAUGCAUUAGGACACAGCAUGUUGAAUUCUCGACAACAAGUUUUUCAUUUUAUUUUUGAUUAAAGAGCAAUUCUUGAUCGUUAGAUUUAACGAAGAAAAUUGGAACCUAAUACGUUAGGGCUCAAUUUUAUUGAAAAUCCUAAAUACGAGUAUUAUCUCUAUUUUGAAAAUUUUCUAUUUUUUUAAAAUCGAGUAAAAAGAUGAUGUAAUGUUAGAUUGAAUGCAUGUAUAAAUUCCGCUUUAACAAAUAAUGAUAAUGAAUACAACAAUGACAUAGAAAUAAUAUAAACAAAUAAUAAUCGAAACUAAUAUACAUAAGAAAGAAAAUAAUCAAUGACAUGCAAAGUGUUGAAUAAACGAGCAAGAUAAAAUAAUGUAAAUGAAAGCACAAAAUAAUAAACAAAUGAAACAAACAAACAAAAAAUAUAAAGAAUAAAAGGGUACAUAAUAUACAUUGAAAUUAUGAAGAAAAAAACAUAUGAAAUUUUGGAUUAUAAACUUAUAUAAACAAAAGUCAUAAUGCAUUUAAGAAAAUAAAUAAAAAAUAAAUAAGUAUAUAUAUAAAUUAUAAAAUAUGUGUUAAAAAUAUAAGUAUGUAUUUAAGCAUUUUUGAAAAUAAAAAAAACAUAGGUAUAUAUAUAUAAAUAUAAAUAUAUUUAUUAGAAAAUAUAUAUAUAUGUACACAUAAAAUAUAUUAAAAAUAAUUAAAUAAUAUCUACAUUAUCAAAAUUAAUUAAAUAAUAAAAAAUAAACAUGUGUACAUGAGAAAAGUAUUAAUUAGAAAAAAUAAAUAUGUGCAUAAGGAAACAAUAAAUGUACAUAUAUAUAUAGAUUUUAAAAAAAUAAUUUCAUAAAAAAAUAAUAAUUACAUUAUUUAAUUAAUUAAAAAAAUAAAUCGAAUUGCAGAUAACAAAUAUGGGGCAAAUCCGCAAAUAAGUGAAGGUAAAAGGACUAAAUUAAACACGCAAAUUACAUAGAGGGGCUGGAUGGGAAAUUUUCCCUUCUCCUCUAAAACGGCAUCGUUCAAAGAGGACUAAAUUGAAAUUAAAAAUAAAUUAAAGGGAUAAAUUUUAAAAAUAAAAAAACUUAAUUGUAAAAACAUUAAGAGGCGGAGGGGCUAAAAGCGCAAUUUCCCCUCCGCAUAAAACACGGGCGGAUCGGGUCGGGUACCCAAAACGACGCCGUUUUGGGCGUCUGGGGGCCUCUCCAAAACGGUAUCGUUUUGGUACCCUAUAUAAGCCACUAACUUCCCAAAAUAAAUCAUUUUAAACCCUUUUUAAAAAAAAAUAAAACCUUUUUAAAAAAUCCUCUCCCAUUAAUGAGUCUGGCUAGGGGCUCGAGUAUCGGUCUCCGGCGACGGCACCGCCGUCUACGGUGGCCGAAAAAGGGGAAAACCUCAGAUCCGGUCUUUUCGACCCUUCCAAACCUGGAUCCGAGUUCAAAACCCUCAAAAGGUUAGCAGAAAUGCCUCAAAAACCCAAAACCCUUUCGGUUUUCGGCCGUCUAUCCUCGAAGGCGACUUCCUCUGCCGUCCACGGCGAUUGGGACUCGAAUACAGGUUGUUUCACUUCCUUUUGUAUUUAUAUUUAUUUGUAUGCAAAAAAACAGUAAACUAAAGUAAGGAGAAAAAAAUAUAGACUUUUGGAUCGAUUUCUAUUCUUUCAAUAUUGAAUUCUCUUUUUGUAUUUGCUGUGAAAAUAAUUCUUUGUUCUUAUUGAUUUCCCCUCCUCUUAUUUACAAUAUUUGAGUGUGCCUUUAUAGUAAAUAAUGAAAGAAAAAUAAGGUAAGAAAUCUCUCUAGUAUCUGUUUCAUUCACGAUCUUCUGAUUUUCUUGCCAUAUAUUGUUCAUUGUUUUUCUUGCCGUGCAGGUAUGAAUUUGAAGAUGCGGGCUAGGUGGCUGCGUGAGGAGUGCGAGGCGGUCGUGCGGUGCGCCCUAGGGUUCCAUCUGCUCCCAGAGCAUUGAUUUGGGCUAGGGUUUGAUUUGGGCAUCCGUUUUGCCUGGGCUUGGGCCAUAUAGGCCGAUUGUAAUUUGGGCCUUUUACCCGGGCAAAAUCAGGUAUUUACAAUAUAAAUUUGAAAUUAUAAAAGAAAAUAAAUUAUAAUAUUAAUUUUUUUUAAAAAAAAGAUAAAGCAACAUGUAACAAUUAUAAUAACAAUUCAUGAUAAAUACAAAAGAUAUUCACAAUAAAAAAUACAAUAUUAUGAGUGCUUGCUUCACACAACAAUACAAUAAAUUAUUAUAAGAAAAUACUAUAAUUUAUAAUCUCCAUUAAUUAUCUCAUAGCAUUAUAAUUGAUUGGGAUUUUCAUAAAUAUCUUAUUUUAUUACUUAGAAAAUGCAUCGAAGUAAAGAAAUUAUUACAAGAGAUGAAAGGGAAAGGUUGAAGAGCCUUUCCUUUAUGAAAAAAACAACAAUUCGAGAACUGUUAUGAAAUGAAUCAAAGAGAGAAUCCAACAAACAAUCGAUAAAAGAAUAAUCAAAGAAAAUUUUCUAAAACGACAAUAUUUAUGGAGCGCAAAUGUAUUCAGUAGCCACCCUUCUUCCACAGUUAUUAAGAGACUCAAUGAAAUAGGAAGGUUGAGUUUAAUGUCCAAGACAUUAGCUCGGACAGCUGUGCAAAGGCAAACCGCAACUUUAAGAUCAGCCAACCCAUGGAUCAAACUGCAGCAUGGUUGGGUUGGUACGUUUUCGAGGUCGAGAUUCACCAAACUUGAUACGAGCCAAGGAGGUGACACUCAAGGGGUUGUUUUUCCUAGUGGUCCAAUCACUCGAAGCAAGGCACGACAAGUAAAAUCAAAGAUGAAUGCUUUUGUCCAAGAUUUUGUUGCUACAAAUUUAAUUCAUCAUGGUCAUGACGUUGACAAAUACGAGAAUGCAAUUCACUGGACCAAUCUUGGAAUAGUGAAAGCCCAUAAAUUGGUGGAUUAAUCUUUUAUAUAUCUUAUUAUUAUUAUUUACUUAAUUCUCAUUGGUUGGGACACAUCACUUAUGAGUUUUAAGUAAUUUUAUUGGCUAGGUUAAUAUUUAUUUAUUUUUUUAGAUAAUUCUAAAGAGUUUUAUUAGGAUUCAAUUAUUUAUUUUCUUAGAUAAUUUUAAAGAGUUUUAUUAGGGUUCAAUUACUCUUGUCUUUUGGCUAUAAAUAGGCUUGCUUUCUACACAUUGAAGGAGGAAUAAAAAAAAGUAUUUGUUUUCUUUCAAAUUUGUGUGAGGCAAAUUUUUGAGAGUAGAGUGAUUCUUCUCUUGCUAUUUAGUUUGGAGUUUGUUUCUUUCGAGGGUAUUUCGGAGUUACAAAUAUUCAAAUUUCUUUCCUGUUCAUCAAUGUUUCUAGCAGUUUUUCUUCUAGGGGUUUCGUAGGGAGCCACUCAAUCAUUGGCGUUUUUGGUUACAAGUUAACCAAGGGUUCUAUAGGGUAAAUCUAUUUUUUUAUUACUAUUAUUUAACUAAUUUUAUUUAUUCUCAUUGUUUAUUUCUAAUUUGUGUUUCUCUUGUGUCUAGAUCCGGGAUUCCGCAUCAGUUGGUAUCAGUUUCAGGCCAUUCGGUGUUAUUUUUGAAGCUAAAAUCAUAUCUGAAAUGAGUCAAAAUAUCAAAAACACUUUUCAUCGGUUUCGUCAAUUUUUUUCAUCGGUUUCAUCGAUUUUUUUUAAAAAAGUAGUUAAGAAAAAAAAGCAAAAAGCGCAAAAAAAAGUUGAGAAAAAUCGUAAAAAAAAAAAGCAAACAGCGCAAAAAAAAAGUUGUCUACCUCUCAUACGUAGGUUUCUUCUUUUCCUAUUAUUAUUUUUAUUUUUAUUUUUUCCAAAAUUGAAUUUUUUUCCCUUCUUUUCUUGACUCAAGUAUAAUUAAAGCUUCAAUUUUUUUUGAAAAUCUUAAGACACCGAACGUUUCUGAUUUUUGUUUUUUUAAAAUUGGGUAGAGUUUUCUUAAGUUUUCUUCUUAUUAAAGCUUUUCUUUGACUCUAGAGUUAGGGAUCGUUGCAGGUUUACGUUUUUUUUUUUGUUUCUCUUACGCUUUCUAACACUUUGUUUCUUCUUGUGUUAGCAGAUAUUAAAGGCACGCACAAUUCCUUCAUCCGUGUAGCCUCCAUUACAAAUUGCCUCGUCAAGUUUAUUGGCCUCUUAGAGCAAUUAGGGUCUUCAUUGUUUCUUUGAAGUUUGCACCUCCGUUAUUUGAUCUUGAUUAGUAACCCUCUCCAAACAUAUUUACAAGUUUUGAAUCAUUCAGAGAGUUAUUCUUUUGAGAGCUAACGAGUGAGGUUAUUAUUAUUUUUUUUCUUUCUUGUUCUUGUUUGUUUGAUCUUUCACAGAUACCAUGCCGCUCACUAGAUCCCAAACUAGUAAAAAUGAAGAGGAUGAACAAAAAAGAGAGAACGAUCCUUUGGUCGAGUUGUUACAAAAAGCGAUGAAAAAGUUGCAAACUCAAUUCGAACAUCGCAUGACCCAGAUGUUACAAGAGCAAAGGGAGUAUCUUAAUACAAAACUUACAACUCAAGAGAGAUACAUUGCCGAUAAUUACAAGAAGUUGAACGAAGCCUUUAUAAGCCGAUCAAAUUCGCGAGAUCAAACUUUUAAACGAAGGGAGGACCAUGUUUUUGAUGAUGACUUUGAGUCCGAGUAUGUACCUAGAGAAAGGGUGGAACGAAACAAUGACACCCCCAAACCAAAAUUUCCUUCUUUCUCAGGGAAGAAUGAUCCUGAUGCUUACCUUGAUUGGGAGGAAAAGAUGGAAGCAGUCUUUGCUUGUUAAAAUUACUCUGAUGAGAAAAAGGUAACAUACGCUGUCGCUGAGUUCAUUGAUUAUGCACUAACAUGGUGGAAUCAAUUAUGUAAAAGCAGGAUUCUUUAUAGAGAGCAACCUGUUACUACUUGGGUUGAAAUGAAGCGCAUCUUGCGAAAAUGGUUUGUUCCACCAUACUAUUAUCGAGAACUCCAUCAAAGACUCCAACAUCUUGCUCAAGGAGAUAGAUCUGUGGAUGACUACUACAAAGAGAUGGAGACUAUUUAGAUUAGAGUCAAUCUUGUUGAAGAGGCUGAGGUAACUAUGGCUAGAUUCCUUGCCGGCCUAAAGCCUGAGAUUGCAAAUCGAGUUGAGUUACAACACUACAUGGAUGUUGAAGAGAUGCUUCAAACCGCACUCAACAUUGAAAAGCAAUUAUGAAAGAAAGGGACACCGAGGGGUGCUAGUUCAGUUUCUAAUCCUGCUUGGAGAGAAAAUUGGCAAAAACAAGAUGAUAGAUUGUGGAAUGGGAGAGAUGCACGGUUCAAGCCAAAUGAGCCUAGAACUUACUCCAAAGAUAGAGGUAUGCCUAAUUCAUUUAAAGGUUCUACUUCUACUAAUCAAGCUCCAUCUUCUUCUUCUACUUCUCCUAGUGCCAUUAAGCAGCCAAAAGAUAUUACCUGCUUCAAAUGCCAAGGAAUGGGUCACUAUGCUCGAGAAUGCCCUAAUAAAAAGUCAUUGGUGAUUCGAGAAGAUGGCGAGGUUGAUUUUGAGUCUGAUAACGAAUUUGAGAUGCCUCCUUUGGAAGAUGCUGAUGAUGUGCAUGCUCAUGAUGAGUAUGAAGAAUACUUAGAGUAUGGUGAGAAAGCACUUGUUGCUCGAAGGGCUUUAAAUGUCCAGUUUAAAGAGGAAGGGCGCGAACAAAGGGAUAACAUUUUCCACACGAGAUGUUUGAUUGGUGGACAACUUAGUUCAUUGAUCAUCGAUAGUGGAAGUUGCACCAAUGUGGCGAGUUCUUCCCUUAUUGAGAAACUUGGCCUACCUUGUGUGAAGCAUCCAAGGCCAUACCGCUUGCAAUGGCUGAAUGAUAGUGGGGAGGUAAAAGUAUCUAAACAAUGCUUAGUUUCAUUUUCCAUUGGUAGAUACUCUGAUGAAGUUUUGUGUGAUGUUGUUCCAAUGCAAGCUGGGCACAUAUUACUUGGACGGCCAUGGCAGUUUGAUCGACGAGUAAAUCAUGAUGGUUUCCUUAACCAAUACACAUUUGUCUUCCUUGGAAAGAAGUUUACUUUGGCUCCACUUCCUCCUCAAGAAGUCUACAAUGAUCAACUCAAACUUGCUAAUGAGAUGGGUAAGGGAAGUGAGGUAAAAUCAUUGAAAAAGGCUGAGAGUAAAGAGACCCUUAGUGUUAAAAGCCAACUUAAAGGCCCAACAUUGGUGAGUGAUUGCACACACAAGUCACGAGAUGAGAGAGUGAGUUUAUUCGCUAGGUUUCGAGAUAUCAAAUUUUCUCUUUGUAUAAAACAAACAUUUGUAAUUAUUAGGUUUAGGGAAAACUUUGUUUUGACUAACCCUAAUACACAAUUGCCUAGUUGUUUUGUUGAUCUUUUACAGGAUUUUAAGGAUGUAUUUCCUUUUGAAAUGCCUAAGGGAUUACCUCCUUUACGAGGGAUUGAACAUCAAAUUGACUUUGUGCCUGGUUCGAGUAUUCCGAAUAGACCAAUCUAUCGAAGCAAUCCUGAAGAAACUAAGGAGUUGCAAAGGCAAGUUGAAGAUCUCUUAGAGAAAGGGUUGAUUCGUGAGAGUCUAAGCCCUUGUGCGGUCCCUGUACUUCUCGUCCCAAAAAAAGAUGAUUCUUGGAGAAUGUGUGUUGAUUGUCGUGCUGUCAACAAGAUUACGGUAAAGUAUCGACAUCCAAUUUCUCGAUUAGAUGAUAUGUUGGAUGAGCUUAAUGGUGCAUGCAUUUUCUCUAAAAUUGACUUAAAAAGUGGUUACCAUCAAAUAAGAAUGAAACAAGGUGAUGAAUGGAAAACUGCUUUUAAGACUAAGUAUGGCCUGUAUGAGUGGUUAGUCAUGCCAUUUGGCUUAACUAAUGCUCCUAGCACAUUCAUGAGAUUAAUGAACCACAUACUUAGACCUUUUUUAGGAAAAUUUGUCGUUGUGUAUUUUGAUGACAUACUGAUUUAUAGUAAAACUUUGAAUGAUCAUGUUGGGCAUGUUAAAUUAGUAUUGGAUAUGUUAAGGCAUGAACGACUCUUUGCUAAUAUUGAAAAAUGCACAUUUUGUAUGGAUAAGCUUGUUUUUUUUUUGGUUUUGUGAUAAGUUCUACAGGAAUCCAUGUGGAUGAGGAGAAGGUAAAGGCAAUUAAAGAAUGGCCUAUCCCUAAAACUGUUUCUGAGGUAAGGUCUUUCCUUGGGUUAGCCGGUUUCUACCGCAGGUUUGUUUGCAACUUUUCCACAAUUGCUUCGCCUUUGACUGCACUUAUUAAAAAGGAUGUAUCUUUUCAUUAGACAUAUAAGCAAGAAUUAGCAUUUAAUGAACUUAAAGAUAAAUUGUGUAAUGCUCCUAUUCUUGUUUUACCUAAUUUUGAAAAGACCUUUGAGAUGGAAUGUGAUGCUUCUGGUGUAGGUAUAGGUGCCGUCCUCAUGCAAGAUAGUAAACCACUAGCCUACUUUAGUGAGAAACUUGGUGGAGCACAUUUGAACUAUUCGACCUAUGAUAAAGAGUUGUAUGCCUUGGUAAGGGCAUUAGAAGUUUGGCAACAUUACCUUUUACCAAAGGAGUUUGUGAUUCACACUGACUAUGAAUCACUUAAGCACUUAAAGGGAUAAGGUGAACAAGCGACAUGCUAGGUGGGUUGAAUUCAUUGAAUCUUUUUCUUAUGUUAUAAGGUAUAAGAAAGGUAAAGAUAAUAUUGUGGCUGAUGCUCUAUCAAGGGGGUACACUUUACUUAGUACAUUGCAUACUAAGUUAUUAGGUUUUGAGUAUCUCAAAGAUUUAUAUGCCACUGAUUCUGAUUUUGCAAGCAUUUAUGACGCAUGUGAACGUGGUGCAUUUCACAAAUUUUAUAAGCACGAUGGCUAUCUUUUUCGAAAUAAUAGACUAUGCUUACCAAAGUGUUCAAUGCGAGAAUUGUUGGUUCGAGAGGCUCAUAGUGGUGGUCUUAUGGGUCAUUUUGGAGUCACUAAGACUUAUGAUGUUUUACAUGAGCAUUUUUAUUGGCCUAACAUGCGAAAACUUGUUGAGAAAAUUUGUUCUACUUGCAUUACUUGUAAACAAGCUAAAUCCACUAUGAUGCCUCAUGGUUUAUAUACUCCUCUUCCUGUUCCUAGUUCACCUUGGACUAACAUUUCAAUGGAUUUUGUAAUAGGUUUACCAAGGACAAAGCGUGGACGAGAUAGCAUCUUUGUGGUUGUGGAUUGAUUUUCUAAAAUGGCUCAUUUCAUUCCAUGCCAUAAGACUGAUGAUGCAACCCAUGUUGCCGAUCUAUUUUUCCGUGAAGUUGUGAGAUUACAUGGAAUCCCAAGGACUAUUGUUUCCGAUAGAGAUGCAAAAUUUCUUAGUCACUUUUGGAAGGUAUUAUGUGGUAAGUUAGGUACUAAACUACUUUACUCUACUACAUGCCACCCUCAAACUGAUGGUCAAACCGAGGUGCUAAAUCGAGUUUGGGGAUCUUUGCUUAGAGCCGUAAUGGGUAAGAAUGUUAAAUCUUGGGAAAAAUGGAUACCCUAUGUUGAGUUUGCUUAUAAUCGUUCUGUUCAUUCUUCCACAGGUUUUACUCCUUUUGAUAUUGAAUAUGGCUUUAAUCCACUUACUGCUUUAGAUUUGCUUCCUUUACCUUUGAAUGAGAUUGCUAAUUUAGAUGGUGAAAGGAAAGCUGACUUAGUGAAAGAGAUCCAUGAGAAGGCUCGUAAAGCCAUUGAGAAAAAGAAUGAGUCCAAUGCACAUCGAGCUAAUAAAGGGCGAAAGCAAGUCUUGUUUGAACCUGGAGAUUGGGUAUGGGUGCAUAUGAGGAAGGAACGAUUUCCUUCUAAGAGAAAGAAUAAACUUGAUGCACGAGAAGAUGGACCAUUCCAAGUACUCGAGAAAAUAAAUGACAAUGCUUAUCGCAUUGAUCUUCCUGGUGAGUAUGGUGUUAGUGAUACUUUCAAUGUUUCUGAUCUUUCUCCUUUUGAAUUUGAUGUAGGUUCAGAUUCGAGGACGAAUCUUCUUGAAGAGGGGGAGAAUGAUACGAGCCAAAGAGGUGACACUCAAGGGGUUGUUUUUCCUAGUGGUCCAAUCACUCGAAGAAAGGCACGACAAUUAAAAUCAAAGAUGAAUGCUUUUGUCCAAGACUUUGUUGCUACAAAUUUAAUUCAUCAUGUUCGUGACGUUGACAAAUACGAGAAUGCAAUUCACUGGACCAAUCUUGGAAUAGUGAAAGCCCGUAAAUUGGUGGAUUAAUCUUUUAUGUAUCUUAUUAUUAUUAUUUACUUAAUUCUCAUUGGUUGGGACACAUCACUUAUGAGUUUUAAGUAAUUUUAUUGGCUAGGUUAUUAUUUAUUUAUUUUUUUAGAUAAUUUUAAAGAGUUUUAUUAGGAUUCAAUUAUUUAUUUUCUUAGAUAAUUUUAAAGAGUUUUAUUAGGGUUCAAUUACUCUUGUCUUUUGGCUAUAAAUAGGCUUGCUUUCUACACAUUGAAGGAGGAAUAAAAAAAAAGAGUAUUUGUUUUCUUUCAAAUUUGUGUGAGGCAAAUUUUUUUGAGUAGAGUGAUUCUUCUCUUGCUAUUUAGUUUGGAGUUUGUUUCUUUCGAGGGUAUUUCGGAGUUACAAAUAUUCAAAUUUCUUUCCUGUUCAUCGGUGUUUCUAAAUGUUUUUCUUCUAUGGGUUUCGUAGGGAGCCGCUCAAUCAUUGGCCUUUUUGGUUACAAGUUAACCAAGGGUUCUAUAGGGCAAAUCUGUUUUUUUUAUUACUAUUAUUUAACUAAUUUUAUUUAUUCUCGUUUUUUAUUUCUAAUUUGUGUUUCUCUUGUGUCUAGAUCCGGGAUUCCGCAUCCAAACCACCCAACAGAUUAACACACACACCAAGGUUCAAUGGAUUACAAGUACCAUAAUAGCUUUGAGCACUACCAUCGUUGGGAAACUUGUAUCCAGGACGGAUAACAACAGGGUUCCGAGAUUUUGUGGGGUAAGAAGAACCAUUAGGAUUAUUAUCAACAUUGUAAGAGCUUACUAAAGCAAAAGAAGAAAAGGUUAAGAGAGAAGAAAAGAGCAGUUGAUGACUUAACCUUUGAAGUCAUUUUUCCAAUAGAGAAUAAUUUGAUUUCACUGAGAAAAUGGACUGCUUCUUACGAUGAAGGUGAUGAAGUGAUCAAAGGGAUUUUAUAGAAC
Molecule: long non-coding RNA, 18676 nt
Filed under: Gossypium raimondii (Peruvian cotton)
Lineage: Eukaryota; Viridiplantae; Streptophyta; Magnoliopsida; Malvales; Malvaceae
Description: long non-coding RNA (GRAI_LNC009560)
Source: RNAcentral